CUCCCGAUCGCAAUCUGAACAACUCUAAGGUGAUCUUUGUGAUGAGGAAGUCUCAGAGGUCAAUCGAUUUUUUUCCCUCGAUUAGAGUCGACGAUUGAAGAAUUUCACUCUCCCAAUCCCAAUCUGAACGACUGUGAUGAAGAAGUCUCGGAGGUCAAUCGAUUUUUUUCCAUCGGUUGGACUCGACGAUUGAAGGCAUAAAGAACGAUUUGGGUUCUUAAUCGCUACUUUCCAAUCAAAAAUUGCAAUUUUAGCCGCUUCAGUCGCUGAGUGCAGAUGUUUCAAAUUUGUGAUUUACCAAAGACUUGUACAACUUCUUCUUUUGCUUGUUUCUUCUACUACUCUUUCAAGUCCGGAGUCAGUUCGACUCAUUCACUUGCAAAAUGUUUUUCGCUGAUCUGCUAUUGGAGAUGAAUCCACCCCAGCACCCCGCCGCCACUACUAGCCCCAAGGCUCGUAGAUCUGACUCCAGAUUUCUUUUUUGGUAUAUUGGACACGAGAAUCGGUUAGUAUCUCCACGCCCAAAACAUUGAUUUCAGACCCAACCCAGUUCACAGUGUUCACCAUUCUCAUCUUCUUCCACCUUGAUUUCAGAUAGUUUUUUUCGUUCUUAAUGGAUUUUGUUUGUUGGUGUAGAUGGGAAUUCUUGAAAGAAAUUCUGCUUGGUGAUUAGACUGAUGAGAUAUUAAUGGGAUUUUGUUUGUUGGUGUUGAUGGGAAUGCUUGAAAGAAAUUCUGCUUGUGUGGGAAAGGCAGAACAUAGUAGUAGGUACUUGGCUAAAUAACUUCUAUAGGAAAUUGAAGAACCCAGUUCUUAUGUCACCCUGUGGAAGUGGGUCACUUUGAAUUUGAGAUACAAGAGGUUUUGCGCUACAUACUUCAUACAAUUUUGUUUCAUCGAGUUGUUGGUCUUGUGAGGCCCAAAGAUGCGGAUUUGGAACUUUUUGAUAUUACAUAUGUCCAAUGUGGAGAUUUGAAAAUUGAAAAGAAAAUCGAGGAGAAGAUUGAGCAAUUUAUUAGUUGGGUUGAGAAACACCCCAACAAAAAGAGUCAGGUUUGUGGCGUUUGGACUGUUUAAAUUUAAACAACAUAAUGUAGUUUGCGAGCUGGCUUCGAAAGAUGUAAAAUAUAUGUUUUUUUCUUUAUGCUUUCCAAAAAGUACACUAAAUUAAAAUGUAUGAUGUUUAUUUUCAUUUCUCAGUAAUAGGGAUAUGUUCUUUCUCAACUCAUUGAUUUGUCACAUCCUUGUGUGAAAUAAGUUCUGAUGGAAAAGUUUAUGUGGGAAAGGCAGAACAUAGUAGUAGGUACUUGGCUAAAUAACUUCUAUAGGAAAUUGAAGAACCCAGUUCCUAUGCCACCUCGUGGUAUGUUUGUGUAUAUAGUAUAGUUCUAUCCCGAAUUAAAAAGGAGAUUGAUUGACUGGGAUUAUUAUCUAUUUGUACUUAAAUGUAGA
Molecule: long non-coding RNA, 1452 nt
Organism: Cannabis sativa
Lineage: Eukaryota; Viridiplantae; Streptophyta; Magnoliopsida; Rosales; Cannabaceae
Exons: 4
Source: RefSeq, a predicted model, not a curated record